Molecule: ribosomal RNA, 484 nt
Filed under: uncultured bacterium
Lineage: Bacteria
Description: partial 16S ribosomal RNA
Rfam family: Bacterial small subunit ribosomal RNA
Source: RNAcentral
AAUGAACGUUGGCGGCGUGGAUUAGGCAUGCAAGUCGUACGGGCUGUGGUAGCAAUAUUACAGCUAGUGGCGCAAGGGAGAGUAAUACGUAGGUAUUUACCCUGGGGUCUGGGAUAGCGGCGGGAAACUGCCGGUAAUACCAGAUGAUAUCUCCGGAUCAAAGGUGUGAUUCCGCCCUAGGAGAAGCCUGCGGUCUAUCAGCUAGUUGGUAGGGUAACGGCCUACCAAGGCAAAGACGGAUAUGGGGCGUGAGAGCGUGCCCCCACUCACUGGGACUGAGACACUGCCCAGACACCUACGGGUGGCUGCAGUCGAGAAUCUUCGGCAGUGGGCGCAAGCCUGACCGAGCGACGCCGCGUGCGGGAUGAAGGCCUUCGGGUUGUAAACCGCUGUCGAAGGGGAGGAAAUGCUAGUGGGUUCACCCAUUAGUUUGACCGAUCCUUGGAGGAAGGGCCGGCUAAUCUCGUGCCAGCCGCCGCCGUAA